CCCGUAUUCCUCUCUGUGUUUAUUAAACUGAACCAUCUCCUUUAACUUCCCCAACUUGAUUAUUCUGAGAUUUAGACGCUUAACUCCAUCAAUUUCAUCACAUAAAUCCCUUCAAUUCUUCAAAACCCCCUGAUUUUUGAAGAAACUGUAAUUGAAUCCAGUUUCAAUUUCCAAAUCCACAUCAUAGAGAGAGAGAGAGCGAGUGAGGAUCUUUUUUUCUUUUUUCUUUUUUCAAUAGUUAAAUCUCUCUGUACAUCUCCAUCUCCUACUACCUUGAAGAAAGAGAUACAUAGAUUCAGCUUGGCAUAGUGAAAGCGGUGGCAGAUUGAUGGCAAAAUCGAUUGUAGAGAAUCAUAAUCAAAAAGGGGGCGGAGGAGAGCUAAAGACGCGAAAUCAGUAAGAUUCUUGGGAUUUUGGUAAUACCAUUUUGAUUAUUCACUAUGCUAGGCUCGAUACUCAUUUAUCAAUUAAAGUUUUUCUUGUGAUUAAGAGUCAUUCUGGUCCUUGUUGAUAAAGCGGUUAGGUUUUUUAUUGGAAUUAUACUCGAUAGAUAUUUUUUUUCUUUUGUAUUUCCAAAAUUGAUUUUAGUAAAUGUAGAACAACAACCAACGGCAUCAUCAUCAUCGUUGGGUCAUUCAGUAAUACCAAUUGUGAAUAAACUACAAGAUAUAUUUGCACAAUUAGGAAGUUCAUCAACGACUGAAUUACCACAAGUUGCUGUUGUUGGAAGUCAAAAUAGUGGUGCAUCAACUGUUCUAGAAGCUCAGGUUGGUAGAGAUUUUCUAUGCAGAGGUUCUGAUAUUUGUACAAGAAGACGAUUGGUUUUACAAUUGUUGCAUACUAAAUGUAAAUCUGAUGCUGGAGCUGAUGAAGAGUAUGGAGAGUUUUUGUACUUACCUAAAAGAGUUAGGCCCCUUGCUGCGAGAUUACAAACUUUUGAUUUUCCGCAACCACUUGUAAGUAUCCACUUUUGUUUACUGGUUCUUAUUAGUUAUUUCCUCAGAACAUGGGACCUAUCUACUGAUUUUGAUAUUUGUAUAAGGAAAGUGAAUUGUCAACUGAUUCUUGGGAUCUAUAUGGAUCUUAGAUUUUCAAACCUUGGGUCUGUAAAGAGUUGGAAAAUGAGUGACCCGUUGCUGUUAUUUUUGUUAUUGUUUUGGAGUUCAUUAAAACUACUUCACAUCAAUUAACAACAGAUCAUAGCCUCAUGCCGUGGCAGAGGUAAUGGUAAAUCCGAUUUAAUGCCUAUGAAGACUGAGACAUCAUGAGGGGAGAUUUAUCAGUUUUAUCACACUAAAACUGCAUCUCAGGUUUAAAUUUAACAAAUAUUUUUAUGAGAAUAUAUAUUCUUUUUUAUGCUACUCGUGAUGCAGUUCUAUUCCUACUUCAUUGCAGGUGAAACCAGAAAGUCCUACUCUUGUUUCCUCUUCUUUUUGUUGGAGGAGAAACUCAAAUUUCAUUCAUAACCUAGUUUGUUCACAAGUAUCAAUUAUGAAUAAUCAUAAAGAGAGAUUCGAGGAAUCCUCUGAAUCAUUAAUUCAUCUGUGUUUCUAACUUACACAUGGGGCUUAAUUUGUUAGAAUACAGGGAUUAUAGAGAAGAAAUAAAAGCUCCAUGAUUUUGAGCUACAGGUGAGCAUUGUAUCUAACCAGGAUGAAGGGCUUAUGGAAGCUCAACAAGGUAUAGAAGAAAUAACGGGAGAAUUGGGUAUCUCAUUCAUAAGAGUUACUGACGGUGCUAAGAUGGUUUUUGUAAGGAUCAAGGUAAUAUCAGUUGUUGACAUCCUACUAGUACUGGGCUAUACGCACACAACCUAGGCGUAUUUGGUAUCUGCAAUUUGGAUAUUGAAAUUGCACAGUUACAAGCCAAAGUGCCAUGAACAUUUUAUCCGUGUAGGUUGUUUACUGCUGCUAACAACUAUAGGCACACUAACUAGGUGUAUUACUACUUGCUUACUUGGGUCUUAUUGGUUUACAGGACGACCCCACCAAUCUCUCUAUUCCCAGAAGUGCAAUAUUCAAAGUCUAUUUACAAGCCUGUUACUAUGUUCUUACUUGGUGAUAGGAUAUCAUGUUCAAGGGAUAUAGGAGUGCUGAACAUCAAACAUAAGUCUACGAAGCACAAUCCACUUUAUCAUAUUUAUAUAUUUUAUGAAUCCAUGUAUGCUAAUCUAUGCAGUGGCUUACAGCAACCGAUCUUGUCUUUUCGGAAGGACGAUAUCUUUUACUGGAAGAUGUAGAUGUUACGAUCAAUCUUUCAAAAGGUUUAUAUCUUACUGAAAGUAUAUCUUCUGAUGAACAGAAGGAGCUCCGGCACCUGGCAGUUAAUUAUGUUUUGAUUUUUUUUUCUUCUUUGUUGUUUUGAACCAGAAGUAGCUUCUGUUGUUGAAUUUGAGAUGUUUGGUUUCUCAAAGUUGUAAUUUUUCUUUUGAAGGAUCGAUUGUUACUGAAUUCAAGUUAACUUAAAUAAAAUGGUUUGAAUUUGUUUA
Long non-coding RNA from Papaver somniferum (opium poppy), 2488 nucleotides. RefSeq lists it as uncharacterized. Lineage: Eukaryota; Viridiplantae; Streptophyta; Magnoliopsida; Ranunculales; Papaveraceae. The record is from RefSeq and is a predicted model, not a curated record. The transcript has 3 exons.